Molecule: ribosomal RNA, 668 nt
Filed under: uncultured Methylobacterium sp.
Lineage: Bacteria; Pseudomonadati; Pseudomonadota; Alphaproteobacteria; Hyphomicrobiales; Methylobacteriaceae
Description: bacterial SSU rRNA
Rfam family: Bacterial small subunit ribosomal RNA
Source: RNAcentral
CGGGUGUCAGCGGCAGACGGGUGAGUAACACGUGGGAACGUACCCUUUGGUUCGGAAUAACGCAUGGAAACGUGCGCUAAUACCGGAUACGCCCUUUUGGGGAAAGGCUUGCUGCCGAAGGAUCGGCCCGCGUCUGAUUAGCUAGUUGGUGGGGUAACGGCCUACCAAGGCGACGAUCAGUAGCUGGUCUGAGAGGAUGAUCAGCCACACUGGGACUGAGACACGGCCCAGACUCCUACGGGAGGCAGCAGUGGGGAAUAUUGGACAAUGGGCGCAAGCCUGAUCCAGCCAUGCCGCGUGAGUGAUGAAGGCCUUAGGGUUGUAAAGCUCUUUUGUCCGGGACGAUAAUGACGGUACCGGAAGAAUAAGCCCCGGCUAACUUCGUGCCAGCAGCCGCGGUAAUACGAAGGGGGCUAGCGUUGCUCGGAAUCACUGGGCGUAAAGGGCGCGUAGGCGGCCAUUCAAGUCGGGGGUGAAAGCCUGUGGCUCAACCACAGAAUUGCCUUCGAUACUGUUUGGCUUGAGUAUGGUAGAGGUCAGUGGAACUGCGAGUGUAGAGGUGAAAUUCGUAGAUAUUCGCAAGAACACCAGUGGCGAAGGCGGCUGACUGGACCAUUACUGACGCUGAGGCGCGAAAGCGUGGGGAGCAAACAGGAUUAGAUACCCUG